Molecule: long non-coding RNA, 2246 nt
Organism: Chinchilla lanigera (long-tailed chinchilla)
Lineage: Eukaryota; Metazoa; Chordata; Mammalia; Rodentia; Chinchillidae
Exons: 3
Source: RefSeq, a predicted model, not a curated record
GUUGCAAGUAAUCAGAAUGGCACAUUCAUACUAGGGCAGUGACACCAGUCUAUAGAUCCUAUAGUCAUCGUGUCUGUAGUGGUAUAUUUUUCACAGUCUCAUUCUACGGUGAAGACAGGUGGUAAAUUCUAUCUGGACAUCAGUCAAGGCACGCCUUCUCAUCUUUGCACCCAGCACAGGACUAUAAGUGUCUUAUUACUGGUGAAAGCUUGGUAACCAUUUGUAACAUUGAUUUUACUUCAGUUUUGGCCUGGCAACCUCAUUUUUUCCAUGUCUGUUGUCCUCAAGCUGAAAUUCCAGAACUGCAGUAAUUCUAGAAACACCAGCAUUAACUAAAUCUUUUGUCAGUGAGAGAAUAACAGCUCUCAAUGCAAGUGCCAACAUAAAGCAAAACAGUUAGUUAUUAUUCAACACGCCUUCUGAAGAGAUUUUUUUUAAAAAUUAGUGGUGGCUUGUCUUUUUCCCCCUAAGUCACCCACACUACAUAUACCAUACCACCGUCUGCACUGACAUAAAUAAUAAUGUUACAAAAGGCAGUGAGGAAAAGUUAAGAAAGAGCAGUUAGUCUUGUCCCCUCUCCCAAAGCCUAUUAAAGGCUGAGUGGAGGGUACGAGACAGAAGUCAGAAUGUUUAGUGCUAUCCAGGGAAGGGCCAGCUGCUACACUCCGAGGUUUGCCGCAUUCUUUAAGAAUGGAAAAGAAAGAUUAGCCGCAAUUUUGGAGCUUGGUGAAGUGAACAGAUUUAAUGCCUCCCAAACUGCUGGUUAUAUGGAUUUACAGAAUAAUAUAAUUUCAGUCAAUCUGCUACUACUUGGAGAUCAGGUCCUGUGAUUUAAAAACUUCUUUUACAAUUCACAUAGCCUUUAUGUAGAUGGCAGGGAACCCUAGACUACAAGCUGCGCAAGGCGUGUAUUAAGAACCAGGCAAAGCUCAAAAUACGUGUAAACAGGGGAGGGAUAUUACGGAGUCAGAAAAUGAGGUCUUCAAUAUGCCAUGCCUUAAUUUUCUUUCUCUCCUGUGUCUACAGUUCUUUACCGACAGUAUCUACCCUUAACGUUCUUAGUAUUCACUCAAACUUUAGGCAUAGCUUACAAGCUUCUGACUAUAGCAGGAAGAAUAAAGACGAAGGAGACUGUACCCUGUGAGGUGCAUUUCUCUCACAGUUUAAAUACAAAACAUUACUGUGCACCUUUUCUGUCAAGCUAAAUCAGCACGUAUCAGAUGAAACAGGAAGUACUUCAAAUAUUCGAAUAGAACAAUACGUUUACCUUGGACCUCUGGAAUCCCGCCCUUAGUUUCCGUCUCCAUGUCAAGCCUCUACAUAACACUAAAUUUCUUCAAAGGCUCAAGGGGAACAUAAAGCAGCUUGGAUUAAUUCAUUACACUCUAGUGGGGUUUUGAAAGUGUUAGAGAAUUUCAACAAAUUCCAAAGGGUCAUUCUGGAAGCUAGCUGAAAAUGAAGCAUCUUGAAUCACAAACCCAGAUUCUAACCGGAGCACCAGAGGUGAUUCAAGACCCGUGAACUACGAUUACGAAAUAACAAGUGUUGGCCAGGAUGUGGAGAACGUGCAGUUCUUGUGGACUCUUUAUGGGAAUGUAACAUGGUGCAACUGCUACAGGAAACAGAAUGGAGAUUCCUCAACAAACAACAUAGAACUGCUAUACAAGCCCAUGUGAUACCAUAAAGGAAACAGCUCUGCCCCACCACAUCCUUCCGCCGUGAUGCUCCUGCCUUGGAGCCAGCUUACCAUGGACUGAAUGCUCCGAAACCGUGAGCCCAACGAGCCUCUCACUCCUCCUUCAAAUCACAAGUGUCAGGUAUUUCUGUCCUCUAAUGGGAAAGCUGAGCAACACAUCCAGCAGUCCCACUUAUGGGAUAUUAGAAUCGCACAAAGGAAUUUGCCCACUUUUGCAGACAGAUACAACACUCAAGAGGAGGAAGCAACACAAAUGUCCAUCAAUGGACCAAUGAAUAAACAGAACGUGGCACAUAUGUGCAAUGGAAUAGUGUUCAGCAUUAAAAAAAAGAAAUUCUGUCAUUUGCUACAACUUUCAUGAAACUUGAGGACAUUUUGCUAAAUGAAAUAAGGCAGUUGUGAAAGGGCAAAUUCUGUAUUUUCUCAUUUAUAUAAGGUGUGUAUGAAGAGCUCUGGAGAUCUACUGCACAACUGUGUGAAUACAUGGAACAUCUGAAUCGUACACUCAAAAAUGAUUAAGAUAGUAAAUUUUAUAUUAUGUGCUUUUUUU